Lactuca sativa (garden lettuce) is the source of this 1424-nucleotide long non-coding RNA. RefSeq lists it as uncharacterized. NCBI's taxonomy places the organism in Eukaryota, Viridiplantae, Streptophyta, Magnoliopsida, Asterales, Asteraceae. The record is from RefSeq and is a predicted model, not a curated record.
UUGAUAUUAUUAAGUAAUAUAUCACAAUGAGGGAUAAAUAUGUCAUUUAUAGCAUUCUACUAUAACUUAUGCGAUUUAUUGAAGAUCUAUACAUUUUCGAUUUGUUAUUUCAUAAGCGUUUGACCAAUAUCAAAAUAUGAUGCUAUUUUAACGUAUAACUAAUGUAAAUCAUCAAAACUUAAUUAGACACACAUAUAUUCUCUCCCAAAUAUUAAUACAAUAAAAGAUGGGCCGUAGAAACUCACUUUAGUAGCGUGAUCUUGAUCCCGGUUCGUUUUGGUGAAACUUUUUAUGAAUAACUGCGAGGUCACAUUUCUUGGACUUUAAAACAGUUCCAGGUUUGUUUUGGCAUUACUCAAUAUUUGUAGGGGCUGAAUCGGCCAAUAUGAUCAAAUAAAAAGAAUUAGAGCUUUUGUGCCCUCGUCUGAUAAAUCCAAGGAAAUGGAACAUGAAUGAAAGCGAACAGAUACACGAACGAAGCACACAAGCGCGUCCGAUGAUUCAUCUACCGAGAAGGAAAUAGGAGAACGGGGGCAGCUUAUGCUCCCAGCGACGGGAAAAGGCACCUCCGGUCCCUAGUUUCCUCUGAUCGAGAAGGCUAAUCACGAACGAAGCAGUGACAGGGAAGGCUCGGUGGUGGAAGACCCGUUGAGGAGAAGAGCACCUCCGGUUCCUUAUUGGUUUGUAGAGGGGGAGUAACGAAAGCAGAAAGGGCUGCUUAAACAGCUCCUGCGCUUCUUUUGUCUCGGAAGGAAGGUGCGAAGGUGGGGAAUCAAAAGGGGGCUUCUGUCUCCGAUGUUUGCUCCGGGCAAACACCCACUUCGGUCGGUUUUGCUCUCGGUGGUUAAAAGAACUCAUUGGGAAUUGGAUGUUUGGGUUUGCUUUUGACAUAAAUCGAUAUAGAGAAAGGAUGUUUGGGUUGUUUUUGUGUUCACAGGGGUGUUUGUGGGAUUGGCACUCGACAGAAGUGGGAUGAGGAGGAGGACUGCCGUAGCGGCCGGCAGCCUCUUCUUUUGGCCGGUGGUGAACAGGGGGAAAGAAGGAGGGCAAUGUUGUAGACAUCGAUCAAGAGGGGGUGUUUUGGUAGCUCCAAUCGACAGGAAAGGGGGUAGAAGAGAGGCUGUCGCCUCCUUGUUUUCACCGGGAAUCAACACACCUCGUGUGUGUUUCUGAACAGCCAAUCUGUGAAAAAAAAUAAAAGAGAGGGGUCGAGAGUUUUUGUAGGAAUAAGGUGAGAAUGAUUAAUUUCUGCAAUAUGCGAUCUUCACUCAGAUUUUGGAAGACUUUUUGAUGGAUUUGUGGUACAUGGAAAUUUUUGGAAGGAUUUUGAGAGUACAAUACAUUCAUUGAUUCAUGUGUGUAUAAGUAUGAUGUAUUGAUUGUGUAUUUGUUUGUAUAAAUAGAAUACAUGAGUUUGUGUGUGA